Molecule: long non-coding RNA, 236 nt
Filed under: Mytilus galloprovincialis (Mediterranean mussel)
Lineage: Eukaryota; Metazoa; Mollusca; Bivalvia; Mytilida; Mytilidae
Source: RNAcentral
CUUUGCUUUUAUCUCAUAUAUAUACAUGAUAAAGCCAUGGGACUUUUUGCAAUAGCUUUCAAACCAUUUAACCUUGAAAAAAACAACCGGAAGUGACCUUGUGUAAACCGGAAGUAGCUAUUUUUCAUACCUUAUUAAAAUAAAAGUAUAUAGAAUCAGAUAUUUUUGGAAUCAGUGUCAAGUAAAUAUUCAAAUAGUAUUGGAAGUAACAUUUUUCAGACCGGAAGUAACAAAUU